AUUAUAUUUUUCUGAUCCCUCUAAAUACCUGUUAAUGUGGAAAAAAAAAAAAAAUUAUGACCCUGACCACUGGAUGCUUAAAAAAGUGUUUGAGUUUAAAAUAGCCAUUAAAUGUAUGUGACCUCAUGUGUGAGGGCAGCAAGUAGUGUUGCAAAGUUAUUUUUAUCUGCCCCAACUGCUGCUCUCUGCUGUUACUCUGCUGUAAUCUUAUACUGGGCAAGUAAAUGUCAGUGACAAAAUGAGAGCUGGGCUCUGAUUUACACACUCAGGCAGGAUUCCUGGUGAACUUUGAGUUUUCCAUGGUUUUUCCUUAGCAAGUACCACAGGUAUCGUUUCCAUUUUCAGAAUUGCCUGAAAGAAGUUGAGGCCCCAAAAAUAUUUGGUGAUUUUUAGUUCUGACUGAGCUCUGCAAAUGCUGCCUCAGGCAAGGUGUGGGUAAAGCAGAAAUUCCCAGCUCCUUGUCUAAAAAGGAGUUGGGAAAUAAUGAGACACUGUGUGGAAUAGACACUAUAGAAUGAGCAGUCCAUUAUUUACAUUUCUUUUGUUUGUAAAAUCAGCCUUUUUAGAUGUGGCAGGAAUUCAUAUGCAACCCUCUCUGCAUUUUAGGAAAGGAAUGGUUGAAGCUGAAAGAAGGGCUUAGCUGAGAAAUCACUGCACGUGGAAAGAGUUGGGUUUGCUGCAGUUUGCUCCAAAUCCAGGUACCACCAAGACAGAAAAAUUCCAGCUUCUCUUUUAAGGUUGAACACAGGCACCAGCUUAUUUUCUUGGAGGGAAGAUAUUUAGGAGAAAAAAAAAUCCCUUUAACAGGUAAUUUAAAUUUCUGGAAUGUUACCUUUCUUUUGAGAACUAAAGCUGUAACAAAAUCCAUCUUCUUCAAGGCUUUGCUGGGGCACUGGGGGGCUCCUGCUCCUGUGGGGUGCUCACUUGAGGCCAGGGCUGGUCUGUAAGGGCUGUGGGGACAUCCUGCUAGUGGCCACAGGGCCAGGCAGGGUCUGGAGCACCUGGCACAGCUGGGGGGGCUCACCUGGAGCAAAGGAGGCUCAGGGGGGACCUUGUGGCUCUGCACAACUCCCUGACAGGAGGGGAUAGCUGGGGGCAUCAGGUUCUGCUUCCAGGGAACAGCAGGAGGAAAAAGGGCUUCGAGUUGUGCCAAGGGAGGUUUAGAUUGGAUAUUGGGAAAAUUUCUCGAUGGAAAGUGUCUGGUCCUGGCACAGCUGCCCAGGGCAGUGAUGGAGUCCCCAUUCCUGCAUGGAUUUAAAAUCCACGUGGAUGUGGCACUGAGUGACAUUGGUUAAGCGGUGGCCUUGGGGAACAGCUGGACUUGAAAACCUUAAAGCUUUCCUAAACCUAAACCUUUCCAUAAUUCCAUGAGACUGACUUGGAUCGAGCAGAGCACCAGGACACGGGGCUGUGACAGGGGGCAGUGAGGAGAGGACAGGACAGGACAGGAGAGGAGACAGGACAGGAGAGGAGACAGGACAGGAGAGGAAACAGGACAGGAGUGGAGUGGACAGAACAGGAGUGGAGUGGACAGAACAGGAGAGGACAGGGCAGCACACAGAUGCUGUGGCCGGUGGGCUGCUGCGUGCCCGGCGGGCGGUGCCUUUAAGGGGCGGUCGCGGGGCGGUGGCUGUGGCGGGGCCGGGGCGGCCGCGGUCCGGGUUCCCCCC
This 1670-nucleotide long non-coding RNA is filed under the name Cyanistes caeruleus (blue tit). RNAcentral's name for it is "lncRNA (ENSCCEG00000008264.1)". Lineage: Eukaryota; Metazoa; Chordata; Aves; Passeriformes; Paridae. The record is from RNAcentral.